GAAAAUGAAGUUGUGAAAAGGUUAACACGAUCUUUAUAUCUAAAUCUCUCCAAUGUUUUUCUUAGUAUUUACCAAUGUUUCUUCAAGAAGAUCUGAAUCCAAGUGUUUCUUCUACGAUAGCACACCUCAAGGCACUCGUCGGGCCUAGUGAUCAUCACAUCAUUUAUUCGCAGGGUUGGUACACUCUUUUCACGAGGUUUGUACACCUCAUAUCAUUC
This 218-nucleotide long non-coding RNA is filed under the name Vigna radiata. RNAcentral's name for it is "long non-coding RNA (VRAD_LNC018574)". The record is from RNAcentral. Lineage: Eukaryota; Viridiplantae; Streptophyta; Magnoliopsida; Fabales; Fabaceae.